Molecule: ribosomal RNA, 943 nt
Filed under: uncultured Thermococcales archaeon
Lineage: Archaea; Methanobacteriati; Methanobacteriota; Thermococci; Thermococcales
Description: bacterial SSU rRNA
Rfam family: Archaeal small subunit ribosomal RNA
Source: RNAcentral
AAAUCCCACGGCUCAACCGUGGGGCUUGCUGGGGAUACUGCGGGCCUUGGGACCGGGAGAGGCGGGGGGUACCCCUGGGGUAGGGGUGAAAUCCUAUAAUCCCAGGGGGACCGCCAGUGGCGAAGGCGCCCCGCUGGAACGGGUCCGACGGUGAGGGACGAAGGCCAGGGGAGCGAACCGGAUUAGAUACCCGGGUAGUCCUGGCUGUAAAGGAUGCGGGCUAGGUGUCGGGCGAGCUCCGAGCUCGCCCGGUGCCGUAGGGAAGCCGUUAAGCCCGCCGCCUGGGGAGUACGGCCGCAAGGCUGAAACUUAAAGGAAUUGGCGGGGGAGCACUACAAGGGGUGGAGCGUGCGGUUUAAUUGGAUUCAACGCCGGGAACCUCACCGGGGGCGACGGCAGGAUGAAGGCCAGGCUGAAGGUCUUGCCGGACACGCCGAGAGGAGGUGCAUGGCCGCCGUCAGCUCGUACCGUGAGGCGUCCACUUAAGUGUGGUAACGAGCGAGACCCGCGCCCCCAGUUGCCAGUCCCUCCCGUUGGGAGGGAGGCACUCUGGGGGGACCGCCGGCGAUAAGCCGGAGGAAGGAGCGGGCGACGGUAGGUCAGUAUGCCCCGAAACCCCCGGGCUACACGCGCGCUACAAUGGGCGGGACAAUGGGAUCCGACCCCGAAAGGGGAAGGGAAUCCCCUAAACCCGCCCUCAGUUCGGAUCGCGGGCUGCAACUCGCCCGCGUGAAGCUGGAAUCCCUAGUACCCGCGUGUCAUCAUCGCGCGGCGAAUACGUCCCUGCUCCUUGCACACACCGCCCGUCACUCCACCCGAGCGGGGUCCGGAUGAGGCCCCGUCGCCGGCUCUGACCGGAUGGCGGGGUCGAGUCCGGGCUCCGUGAGGGGGGAGAAGUCGUAACAAGGUAGCCGUAGGGGAACCUACGGCUCGAUCACCUCCU